RNAcentral lists this transfer RNA (63 nucleotides) under Ictidomys tridecemlineatus (thirteen-lined ground squirrel). Its description in RNAcentral is "Spermophilus tridecemlineatus (thirteen-lined ground squirrel) tRNA". It matches the Rfam family "tRNA", at positions 5 to 66 of the family's 71-position model. From Rfam's summary of the family: Transfer RNA (tRNA) molecules are approximately 80 nucleotides in length. Their secondary structure includes four short double-helical elements and three loops (D, anti-codon, and T loops). Further hydrogen bonds mediate the characteristic L-shaped molecular structure. tRNAs have two regions of fundamental functional importance: the anti-codon, which is responsible for specific mRNA codon recognition, and the 3' end, to which the tRNAs corresponding amino acid is attached (by aminoacyl-tRNA synthetases). tRNAs cope with the degeneracy of the genetic code in two manners: having more than one tRNA (with a specific anti-codon) for a particular amino acid; and 'wobble' base-pairing, i.e. permitting non-standard base-pairing at the 3rd anti-codon position. Lineage: Eukaryota; Metazoa; Chordata; Mammalia; Rodentia; Sciuridae. The record is from Rfam by way of RNAcentral.
AUGUAGCUCAGUGGUAGAGCACUUGCCUGGCAUGGUUGAGGCCCUGGGUUUAAUUCCCAGCAU